AUGGAGCCGACCUUGAAAUACCACCCUUUAAUGUUUGAUGUUCUAACGUUGACCCGUAAUCCGGGUUGCGGACAGUGUCUGGUGGGUAGUUUGACUGGGGCGGUCUCCUCCUAAAGAGUAACGGAGGAGCACGAAGGUUGGCUAAUCCUGGUCGGACAUCAGGAGGUUAGUGCAAUGGCAUAAGCCAGCUUGACUGCGAGCGUGACGGCGCGAGCAGGUGCGAAAGCAGGUCAUAGUGAUCCGGUGGUUCUGAAUGGAAGGGCCAUCGCUCAACGGAUAAAAGGUACUCCGGGGAUAACAGGCUGAUACCGCCCAAGAGUUCAUAUCGACGGCGGUGUUUGGCACCUCGAUGUCGGCUCAUCACAUCCUGGGGCUGAAGUAGGUCCCAAGGGUAUGGCUGUUCGCCAUUUAAAGUGGUACGCGAGCUGGGUUUAGAACGUCGUGAGACAGUUCGGUCCCUAUCUGCCGUGGGCGCUGGAGAACUGAGGGGGGCUGCUCCUAGUACGAGAGGACCGGAGUGGACGCAUCACUGGUGUUCGGGUUGUCAUGCCAAUGGCACUGCCCGGUAGCUAAAUGCGGAAGA
Molecule: ribosomal RNA, 583 nt
Filed under: Escherichia coli
Lineage: Bacteria; Pseudomonadati; Pseudomonadota; Gammaproteobacteria; Enterobacterales; Enterobacteriaceae
Description: partial 23S ribosomal RNA
Rfam family: Bacterial large subunit ribosomal RNA
Source: RNAcentral